RNAcentral lists this ribosomal RNA (253 nucleotides) under uncultured bacterium. RNAcentral's name for it is "partial 16S ribosomal RNA". It matches the Rfam family "Bacterial small subunit ribosomal RNA", at positions 524 to 776 of the family's 1533-position model. The record is from RNAcentral.
UACGUAGGGACCAAGCGUUGUUCGGAUUUACUGGGCGUAAAGCGCACGUAGGUGGCGACGUAAGUCGGGUGUGAAAGCCCCGGGCCCAACCUGGGAAUUGCAUUCGAGACUGCAUUGCUGGAGUACGGAAGAGGAGGGCGGAAUGUUACAUGUAGCGGUGAAAUGCUUAGAUAUGUAACAGAACACCAAUUGCGAAGGCAGCUUACCAAGCCGAUACUGACACUGAGGCACGAAAGCGUGGGGAUCAAACAGG